Molecule: ribosomal RNA, 484 nt
Filed under: uncultured bacterium
Lineage: Bacteria
Description: bacterial SSU rRNA
Rfam family: Bacterial small subunit ribosomal RNA
Source: RNAcentral
GACGAACGCUGGCGGCGUGCCUAACACAUGCAAGUCGAACGGAGUUUUAUGGAAUGCGACUUCGGUCAAAUGAAGUUUAAACUUAGUGGCGGACGGGUGAGUAACGCGUGAGCAACCUGCCUUACAGAGGGGGACAACAGUUGGAAACGACUGCUAAUACCGCAUAACGUGCCGGAAGGACAUCCUUUUGGUACCAAAGGAGCAAUCCGCUGUAAGAUGGGCUCGCGUCCGAUUAGAUAGUUGGUGAGGUAACGGCCCACCAAGUCGACGAUCGGUAGCCGGACUGAGAGGUUGAACGGCCACAUUGGGACUGAGACACGGCCCAGACUCCUACGGGAGGCAGCAGUGGGGGAUAUUGCACAAUGGAGGAAACUCUGAUGCAGCAACGCCGCGUGAGGGAAGAAGGUUUUCGGAUUGUAAACCUCUGUUUUUAGUGAAGAACAAAUGACGGUAGCUAAAGAGGAAGCCAACGGCUAACUACGUG